AGAGUUUGAUCCUGGCUCAGGAUGAACGCUGGCGGCGUGCCUAACACAUGCAAGUCGAGCGAGAUGUAUAUGGACGAAACUUCGGUCUAGGAAAUAUAUUGACAGCGGCGGACGGGUGAGUAACGCGUAGGCAACCUGCCCUUAACACAGGGAUAGCCUCGGGAAACCGGGAUUAAAACCUGAUAAUGCCAAAUAGUCACAUGGCUGUUUGGCCAAAGAUUUAUCGGUUAAGGAUGGGCCUGCGUCUGAUUAGUUUGUUGGUGGGGUAACGGCCUACCAAGACUACGAUCAGUAGCCGACCUGAGAGGGUGAUCGGCCACAUUGGAACUGAGACACGGUCCAGACUCCUACGGGAGGCAGCAGUGAGGAAUAUUGGGCAAUGCCCGCAAGGGUGACCCAGCAACGCCGCGUGGAGGAUGAAUGCCGUAAGGUUGUAAACUCCUGUGAGAAGGGAAGAAUAACUAAGAGAGUAAAAAGCUCUUAGAAUGACUGUACCUUCAGAGGAAGCCCCGGCUAACUACGUGCCAGCAGCCGCGGUAAUACGUAGGGGGCAAGCGUUGUCCGGAUUUACUGGGUGUAAAGGGCGCGUAGGCGGAUUGAUAAGUCAGAGGUGAAAUCCUGCAGCUUAACUGCAGAACUGCCUUUGAUACUGUCAAUCUUGAAUUCGGAAGAGAGAAACGGAAUUCCAGGUGUAGUGGUGAAAUACGUAGAUAUCUGGAAGAACACCAGUAGCGAAGGCGGUUUCUUGGUCCGUAAUUGACGCUGAGGCGCGAAAGCGUGGGUAGCGAACAGGAUUAGAUACCCUGGUAGUCC
Molecule: ribosomal RNA, 813 nt
Filed under: uncultured bacterium
Lineage: Bacteria
Description: bacterial SSU rRNA
Rfam family: Bacterial small subunit ribosomal RNA
Source: RNAcentral